This 343-nucleotide ribosomal RNA is filed under the name uncultured bacterium. RNAcentral's name for it is "bacterial SSU rRNA". It matches the Rfam family "Bacterial small subunit ribosomal RNA", at positions 29 to 396 of the family's 1533-position model. The record is from RNAcentral.
AACGAACGCUGGCGGCAUGCCUAACACAUGCAAGUCGAACGAGACCUUCGGGUCUAGUGGCGCACGGGUGCGUAACGCGUGGGAAUCUGCCCUUGGGGUUCGGAAUAACAGUGAGAAAUUACUGCUAAUACCGGAUGAUGACGUAAGUCCAAAGAUUUAUCGCCCAAGGAUGAGCCCGCGUAUGAUUAGCUAGUUGGUGGGGUAAAGGCCUACCAAGGCGACGAUCUUUAGCUGGUCUGAGAGGAUGAUCAGCCACACUGGGACUGAGACACGGCCCAGACUCCUACGGGAGGGCAGCAGUGGGGAAUAUUGGACGAAUGGGCGAAAGCCUGAUCCAGCAAUG